Long non-coding RNA from Humulus lupulus (European hop), 2373 nucleotides. RefSeq lists it as uncharacterized. NCBI's taxonomy places the organism in Eukaryota, Viridiplantae, Streptophyta, Magnoliopsida, Rosales, Cannabaceae. The transcript is spliced from 7 exons. The record is from RefSeq and is a predicted model, not a curated record.
AAUGAAGCGCCAAUUUUUUUUUUGUAAAUAACGAGUCUCUCCCGCCUAUACUACUGAAAGAUAGAGGGCCCUAGGCGGCCACCCCUCCUCCUCUUACUCCUCUCUCUUUUUCUCUGUCUUCGUUUUCCGAUUCCACUCAACCUCUUUUCUUUGAUUCUUUAUUUUUCACUACUACCUCGGGGCUUCUCUUUUCUCCCCCUCGCCCUCUUGCUUCGAGCCCUUCUUCACUCUCUCUUAAGACGUUGCCUGGCGGAGGCGGAGGCGGAGGCGAGGUCACGGGGUCGAUGUUGCGUGGGUCUUUCUUCUCCUCGGCGCACGGUGGAGGCGAGGUCUGUUGAUCAUUCCCUUGUCGUCUUUCUUGCCUCCCUCCCCCGUUCCUCAACCUCACCAUUCAUCUCUCAAUAUUGAGGUAAUAUGUUGCUCCAUCAAUAUUGAGGUAUAUUUAAAUAACAAUAGUAUUGUGAUUAUUUGUUUAAAUUAGGGAUUUAAUUGAUUUUACGGUGUCUAAAGCACGAAAGAACGUGAUAAUUGAUGUUGAGCUUUGUGAAUCAUUAUCUACAGUUAGCGUAAUUUUUUGUUGCUUAUUGGUGCAGAAUAUGAAGGUAUGGGUUCUCAAAAUGUAAAAUGUUAGUAAAUGUAGUAUAUUUUUGUGUAAUUUUUCCGACUUAUUUUUCUUUAAUACAUUUGUUAGAUCUUGAUUGUUCUCUCUUUCCAAUAAUAGGAUUUAAUGGAAAUUCAUGGAGCAAAUAAGUGUGGGGACGGGAAGUUUAAUUACUUAUAUUACAUUAUAUAUAUGUUAUUUAUGUUAUUUGAAGCUAUUCUUGCAUUUAUGUAGUGGCUAAAUAUCUCAUUUCAAAUGGCAAUUUACAUCAGAAAGUAUAGAGUAGAGAAAGGAAUAAAUGGUUGGUGGCUUGCUAGACAAAGAAGUCGUGUUAGGGAACUACUUAUGGGAAAAGAUGAUGAGACAGAAAAAAAUGGUAGAGGUAAUUAUGUGGCUCUUGGGCCAUGUUAAGUUAAUGGUCGUAGACAGACCACUGAGAAAAGGAAGAAUAUAAUACAGCAACUAAGAAGCUCUUUGGGAUGUUAUAAAAGCAAAGAAAAGGAGGAACAGAGGAAAGGAAAAUGUUGAUCCCAAUACUUGCAUUCCUGCAACAAAGAAGAUUUAAUUACUCAAGUUUUGGGGUAGAUCUUUUGACUACUGAUGUCUUUGUGUGAUAUAAUCAUUUAAGAACUUACAAUGCAACGAUGAGUAGGCUACAACCACUAAGAGAAAAGCCACGAUAGAGAGAUGUAUAUAUCCAAGAGACUUAUGAUAAGUAAUAUUUAUAGAAAUUACAAUUUGUUUUAUGCAUUUGCUAUUACAAUUAUGAGGUAGUUUAAUUAGAUUGGUAAAGAUUUUGAACAUGCUAAUGUUUAAUCCAAUUAAUGAUAGUCCUUUAAAAAAAAUCGUAAAUAUUUACUAUUAUUAUUAAAGUCCAGUGAAAUGUUUAUUAAAAAACUUAUGACCAUUUACAUAUCAUUUUCAGGCAACUUCAAAAAACAUUAUUAGGCGGUUUAUUUAUUUAUAAUAGCAAUAUUAUUGGCUAUUAAUUAUGAAGCACCUAGGGUGCCAAUUGAUGCUUUCCUGUGUAUGCUCAGAGUUGGAUGGGUCAAUUCCUUGGACAAAGAUAGUGUGAAAAUGAGAGUAUUCUUGGUCUGGCAGAAGGGAUCUCAGCUCAACUAACUACUGGGUAAAUUGCUUCCAUGCCCACUACUUCAAGCCUUUUCACUUCCACUACUUUCUGUUGUUAUUGUGCUGCUGCAAACUUAUGAGAAAAUGGAAUUAAAUGGGUUGCAGAGUUAUGCAUUUUUGUUGUAGCAACGUCAAUAUGAUGCUACUUUUUGAGCAAGCUCUCUGACUUUUGUUGUAGCAAAGUUUGUGUAAUGCUACAACAAAGUUUUAGUGGAUAAGGAUAGCUUUCUAACUUAUUUUUGCUGCAGCAAAGUUCGUGUAAUGCUACAACAAAGUUUCAGUGGACAAGGACAACUCUCUGACUUACUUUUGCUGCAACAAAGUUCGUAUAAUGCUAUAACAAAGUUAGUAGUGACUAAAGAAAUUGAGGAAGUUCGAGAAGAAUGGGCGAUGUCAUUUUUACAAUUGGUUAGAACUAAUCAAAUAUAGAAUCAAUUUAACAAAUUAUAGGUUGAGUUAAUUUAGCUUUUUGAUGUGCAUACUUUAUUAAAUAUCCAUUUUAUGACAAACUAGUUUUUUUGGAACUUUGCUAGAUAUCCAUUUUAUGACAAAUUUUUUUUGGAACUAUGUAUUUAUUUUAUUAGAAAGUGUGAGAACUAAUCAAAUACAAAAUUAAUGUUACUAAUGUUGAUUUAAUUUAA